Molecule: RNA transcript, 6736 nt
Organism: Oreochromis niloticus (Nile tilapia)
Lineage: Eukaryota; Metazoa; Chordata; Actinopteri; Cichliformes; Cichlidae
Gene: ppfibp2b
Gene name: PPFIA binding protein 2b
Exons: 31
Source: RefSeq, a predicted model, not a curated record
AGCUGGCGCUACAGUACAGCGCAGAGUACUGACAGACAGACACUUAACACAGGUCAGGGCACCUUGCGCGCACAACUGCUGUAUGUACGCGUAAUGGCGCGUUUGUGUCCUCUCACUUUAUCUUCAAGCGUCUCCAACAAACGCAGUUAAAGGAUUUGUUUGGACUGCGCGUCAGAGGGUCGCACAACAACAUCAGAACACCUGAGAUCUGAUGCUACCUGCCAUCACCAUGGAAACAGAGGCCAGUCACAUGCUCGAGGCGGCACUGGAGCAGAUGGACGACAUCAUUGCAGGUUCAAAAGCAGCAGCGAUGGAGUUCUCUAACAGCAUGUAUGACCUGGGUUCCCCCGUCAGCGCUGGACCGCUUCAGGUCCUUCAGUUAGCUGAGGACCUCAAACUUUCCUUGGAGCUUCAAUCCACCCAGGAGGAGCGAAACAGCCUCCGAGCACAGCUGCCUGCAGAGACCGCACAGGCUCUUGUAGACUGGCUGCAGAGUGGAGCUGUGAACCUGUGUUCUCCAGCCAACAAUGAAACUUACCAAGAACGACUGCUUCGCCUAGAGGGAGACAAGGAGUCUCUGGUGCUACAGGUGAGCGUUCUGACCGACCAGGUGGAGGCCCAGGGAGAGAAGAUCAGAGACCUAGAAAGUUCUUUGGAGGAACACCGCCAGAAACUGGCCUCCACUGAAGAAAUGCUCCAACAGGAGCUGAUGAGCAGGACCUCGCUAGAAACUCAGAAGCUGGAUCUGAUGGAUGAGGUGUCCUUUCUCAAACUGAAGCUGGUCAGCAUGGAGGAGACGCAAACCAACUCACACCCGCAGGAUUCGACAGACACAAAGCAGAACAAAGCUGAGUGUGUGGUAAAUCUCAUCAGUGAGCUCCAGGAGCAGAUGUGCAGGUUUCAGGAGGAGAUCAGCACUCGCAUUCAGGAGAAACGGGCCCUGGAGGAGAAGGAGGCCCAGCAGGGGGAGCCAAGAGACGGCCAAGCCCAGGGCUACAGCCCUCAAGUUGGGUUGGUCAGCUUGGACCUGAGCCUGUCUGGCUCUGAUGCCCGGCAGCACAAUGGAGGAAAGACUGUUCACGAUUUGCAACAAGAAGUUAAGCAGCUGAAGAGCAAAGUGGAUGAGUUGGAGGGAGAGAAGAGCCAGUAUGAGAGGAAAUUAAGAGCCACCAAGCUCUCUAUCUCUUACUCUCUCCAUGUGUGUUACCAGUCGCUCAUGACCCAGCUGUCCAGCCUCAAGCUGACUGUCGAGCACACACAGCUGGAGAAGCAGCAUUGGGAGGAGCGCUGGCGCAGCGCACAGGCAGAAAUUUCAGAGCUGCAGCAGCUCCUGGCCUCCAAAGACGCUGAGAUCGAGUGCCUACAGACCCAGCUGCUGGCCAGAGGCGGCAGCGCCAAUGACAACGCAGAGAGAGAGGAGGUGUAUAUCAAGCAUCUGAUUAACAAAUACCAGGAAUACCAGAGGUUAAAGGUGGGGAUGGAGUCUUUGUUGGCUUCAAAUGACGAAAAGGAUCGGCGUAUAGAGGAGCUUACCAUUCUGCUCAGCCAAUACAGAAAGAUGAGGGAGGUCAUGGCACUCACACAGGGAAGCAGCGAAGAGGAGCUGAGUGGUAGUUUAAAGCUCAAAGCCAUCACUCACAAAGCACACUCUGACAUCCUCAGAUCAGAGCUGUCAUCAAGAGGAUCGUCACCACAUAUGCUGUCCACAUCCCCGUAUCAGAGGGAUUUGGAUUCCAGUUUCCAGAACUCUGUGGAGACAUCGCUGGUGUCCGCUGCUGACCCAAGUUUGUUUAAUGGAUCGUGGCAUCGGUGCCGGUUGAUGUCCAGCAGUCUUGAGGAGUUGCAGAGUGGAUCUUUACAAAAGGCUGUAGAGAUCCAGCCACUUGAAACUGAAUCAGAUGUAGGGGCCGAGAAUCCCCACAUGGAGCUGAACAAGUACCAAACUCUGCCGGGAAAACUGAGUAAAAAGAACGAGCCGGGGGCCGAGCUGAACGGCGACAGAGACGACGAGUAUUUAUCUCCCGUCCAGCUCUCGCCUGUCCACGGCCACAGCCAGGACUACAGUCUGAUUCGCUGCAGGAGUGCCAGUGCUCCGGUUUUAGGAUCUCCUGGAAAACAUGACCUCUAUGAUGUUGAGCAUUCAGAGAAGCUGGAGGAGUGCUUUCCGUCAGACCAGUCCCCACUGUCCUCUGGAGUGGACUCUGGACAGCAGUCUCCUGUCUCACCAGAGAACAGAAAGGGUCACAGAGGAAUUAGGAAACUCUGGGGGAAGAUCCGUCGCAGUCAGUCGGGUAGUCCUGUCCAAGUUCAUGACCCAGAGCUAGGAGACUUCAAGAGGGGAGGAUUCAGAGCUACAGCUGGACCUCGAUUGGCCCAUUCAGGGAAAACACGAGAUCUGAAGACGCCAUUUUCUAAGUGGAACACAGAGCAGGUGUGUGACUGGAUUGAAGACAUUGGACUAGGUCAGUACAGCAUCCUUGCUCGCCAAUGGGUCACCAGCGGUCAGACUCUGCUAUCAGCCACGCCACAAGACCUAGAGAAGGAGAUGGCCAUGAAGAAUCCACUCCACAGAAAGAAGCUUCAGUUGUCCAUCAAGGCGAUCAGUAGCAAACAGCCUGAAAAAUCUGCAGAGCUUGAUUACCUCUGGGUUACCCGUUGGCUUGAUGAUAUUGGCCUUCCUCAGUACAAAGACCAAUUUAAUGAAGGAAGAGUGGAUGGGCAGAUGCUGCAGUAUCUCACUGUGAACGACUUAUUAUUCCUUAAAGUGACCAGCCAGCUGCACCACCUCAGCAUCAAGUGUGCCAUUCAUGUUCUCCAUGUCAACAAAUUCAAUCCCAACUGCCUCAAACGCAGGCCCGGCAAUGAGAGCCAGUUCACUCCCAGUGAGGUUGUCCAGUGGUCUAACCACCGAGUCAUGGAAUGGUUGAGGUCUGUGGACCUUGCAGAGUAUGCCCCAAACCUGAGGGGCAGCGGCGUGCAUGGAGGGCUGAUAAUGCUGGAGCCUCGGUUUAACUCUGAUAGCCUGGCCAUGCUGCUGAACAUCCCUCCUCAGAAAACUCUGCUGAGGCGCCACUUAACCACCAACUUCAACAACCUAGUAGGAUCACAGGCUCAGCAGGAGAAGAGGGAGUACACUGAGGCGACAGGAUACUCCCCACUCAGCAUCACCGCUAAAGUCAAGCCAAAGAAGUUGGGCUUCUCUAACUUGACUCACCUCAGGAGGAGACGGCCGGAUGAAUCUACAGACUAUGUCUGCCCCAUCGAGUCCUCCUCGCCUCAGUCGGGACAGUCUGCAGUGAACGGGGUGCAGAUGCGGCCCUACACAGGCUUCAGAGGCCUGAGCCCCAUCCUAGACCGAGAGCCCGACCGCUCCAGGGACCAGGUGGGGCUAGAAGACAGCAGAGCCGACCCAUCUCCAUGGCAACAACUGUAACACCAACAGCACGGAUGACUGUUGUCAUCCUGUCUAUUAGCCAUUCAGCUAUCUCUGCUACUACUCUGCUUCCUUUGCUUGCAGCCCAUAAUACCUCAGUCCAUCCCCUGAUGUGCUUUUUUAAGCCCCGCCCAUCAGCCCGACCCUGUGCCUUACAUUUAGAGAUUGUUUCUCAGUCAGCUGCCUGUCACACUGCAGGGAGUCCUGAGACGAGCACAAUUCAAGUAUUUUGAUUUCAGCUCCGGUCAGAUGCCUAACUAACCCAACCUCAGCCUCAAACCUGUGCCAUGACUCUAACUCAUCACCAGAGAACACAGCCUCUCUCUGGAUUCCUGUGACAUCACUUCCUGUAAUCCAUACAGCAUAUACAGACAUGUCUUCUUGUACAGUAUUAAGCCAACAUUUGUGCACCACCAGUAGAUUAUUUUUUAUGUGUGACCUUUGAUUUUUCUAACCAGGUUGAAUGCAGUUCUGUUACAUGGUCGAGAUGAACUUGUGCAAUAUUUACAUAAAAUAAUGGAGGGAUUUUAUUUAUAUCAUUGCAGAGAAAAUCAUAAAAUAGCAUGUUUUGUUUGAAACUUGAGGUGGUGAUUUUUGUACCGUUAUUUUUCAUAUUUGACUGUAAUAGUAUUUUUAUAGCAAAGAAAGGAAGCUAACGUGUGGUUUAUCAAAUCAUUUAAUAAACAAAAUCCGACAUGAGCAAAGUUGAUUCAUUCUUUCUGAUGAUCAGAGUAGAAGCAGAUGUGUAAAAUGUUCAGUGUCCUUUAUUUAUUUAUUUUUUAGUUGUACAUCAUUAUAGGGGCCUGUACUGGACAUUUUCAGUGUUUCCCACAGAGGUAGAUUGCACAUGCAAAAGGAGGAACAUCCAUGCUGUCUUAAAUUAUAAGAGCUAUAAAUUGUUGCCAUUAAAGUCAAUUUCUCAUUCUAUGUAAGGACUCAAAAUUUACCACAUGUAGUGACUCCAGCUCUUGUUCUGCUCUGUAACAUCAUCAGUUCACAAAGUGAUAUUUGGCAUUUCUGGCUUGCUGCAUAUAACCGCAGUAAGUUCAGGUUAGUAACCGGAACCAGCUGUCCCUCUGCUUCAAGUUCCAGUUGACAGCAGUUUUCCAGUGAAGAACAGGGAUUACCUUUACCAGCAGUCCAAGGUGGUGGAGUUGGAAUCUGUUCACCGGGGGAAGAAGAGACUGACUGGAGAAUAGCUCAUUGACAUCAAGAUAGCAGCAACAAUGACCCGGCCACCCUGCCGAUGUCAAAGCAUGCUGCUUGUUAAUGUGGUGGAACUCUCAAACUAAGAGUUAGGCGACUUUAUGUGGAAAACACUGAAUUCCUCAGGAAGCAUAUUCUGUAUUUCUGUAAGAUAAAGUAACAGACUAUGCUGCUAGGCGCAGCCACGAGCAGCAGCAUGCCUUAAUAACCUGCAUCAAGCACUAACCUGCUUCCAUCAUCAUCAUCAUCAUCUCCAUUCUCACCAUCACAGUGGCUGUCAUUGCUGUUUAUGACGCCACGUUUCCCCCCUUCGGCUGAGCGGUCUGAGCCAAGAUGGCUGAUGAUCAUCACCAUGGUAACCCUGUUAAAGGUGACAUGGGAAGUGCAUGUUUGACUAUGACUCAGCUGCAGAUGGCGAUCACAGAGGGUACCAUUUUGCAAAUAGAAGCUCUUUCUGAAAGCAUCAACAACCUCACAGUAAGCGCCAACACACACAAGCUGCUGCCUAAUGACUUGUGCAGCUGAUUCGCUCACUGGGAAUCUGCUUGUAGUCUGCUGUAAGAGAAGUUUGAGUCACUCAGAUGGAAAACUGCAGAUACUCAGAUGGGAAUGCCAUUAAAACACCACGUCUUGUGUCUGUGUACAAAUUAAAACAAUGCUGCUAGUGUGAAACCUGCUCGCUGGUACUUGCUUCUUUAUUACUUGCGGCUAUCAUCCAGAUGCCAGGCUUGGUUCUUUAGCAUUUGUUCUGUUUGUUCAAGUCAAGAAAAUCAUGGUAGUAACUAAAGUCUGAGAUGAUUGAGAACAAGUUUGCAGCUUCAGUACAUCAGUGAAGAUCUUGGUAAAAAAAUAAAUUUGAGCGUUACUCAUAUAUUUUUAUUAUUUGAAGUUAAAUUUUAAGUCCAAGAAUCUGCAAGAGUUACAUCAGAACAAGGAAGGGCGAAUUUAAACCUCAGAUUUAUUAUUUGAAAUAAUCACAGUAAUUAGCAUCAACAAGCUUUCACAGCAGACCUUUUAAGAUGUCAUAGCAUGAAAAGCACAGUCUGAUUACAAACAUUAAUAAUGUUCAUAUUUACUAAGGUGAGUUAGUGUCACACAUUCAAGGUUGCCAUGUCUGAGGAUUUCCUACAGAACUGGGUUAGAUUCAUGUUCAUGUUGGGCAGCCCUGUUUUUAAAUCGUAUUGAAGUUGCCUUCCGGGUAGCUGUUUCAAGCCUCUGUGCAAAGCUAAACUAAGAGGCUAUCAGCUGUAUCUUUAUCUUAAUAGCUGAGGAGAGCUUCAAUUAGCUUUAGAGGGGCUGGUCUGUACUUGCCCCUCUUUCCAACUGCAACUGUUCAUUUUAUAAAUUCCACCUGUGCUUCUCCUUUGUGACAUGUCAUAAAACAAUCUCACAUCGGAUCGGAUGUUCUCAUUUCAGUAAAGUAUACUGACCCCAGCUCAGAAGCAAACACUAACUUCUAAUCUUUCUAACCCAUUGCCACUCCCAUGAUGCUCUGCCCCCAGUAUCUGCUCAGCCGAGAUGAGCUGCGGAAGGAGAUGAGGCGUUCACAGACGGCGCUAGUUUGAAGGACGAUGACCUGUAGUGACCUGUCUCACAGCUGAAUUGUACCUCAGCUCUCAAGCUAACACUGCAGCGUGGAGCUCCUUACAUUUACUUCUACUAGCCCCUGAUACCUCAAGUUAACUCCUGCACACAUAAGUACAGAGGACUGGGAAAUACAAACGGACCUACAUAUUUUGACAACAAUCAAAGGUCUUAUUUUUAUUUUCUAGUGUGCUGAAUUGAACUGUUAUUUAUACACUUUUUUUGUUACUGCUUUCCUUAAUUCCCUAUGCAAUGUAGCUUUUAAUGAGCAUACUGACCACUGUGUACUGUAAAUACUGUGUUGGUAUUUCAUUAGGGAGGACUGUGCAAAGCAAUGAACAUGCAGUUUAGAAUGGACAAACUGGACAUUCCAUCAAAAAUGGUGUUGAAGCCAUUUUUAAGAGCAGAGCAGCUAAAGAAGAAGAAGCUGAAACAUUCCUCAACAUUGUCAUUCUAUUGUUGUGCAGAGAAAGAUGCUACAUAUCAUAUGUUGAAAUAAAGAAGUUACAAGAA